GAAAAAAGGUAGAAAAAGCACGAGCAGAAGAGUUGAUCGAAAUAAAAGAUCGAGACGCAAGUGGAGCUCUGAGAGUUCUAGUGACACAGACAGUCAGAGCAUGAGCAGCAGCAGCAGCGGUGAUAGCUCUGAUGAUGAAAAUGACAGGCCAAAUAAUUCUGCACGAAAAGGUUUGGUGAAGAAAUUGUCAAACCCUGUCAAAGGACAAGCUGUUUUGAAGCAGCAACAGAAUCUUGAAGAGGGUGAAGUAUCUAAGAACGCUAAGCUUCCAAAUAAUGGUCAUGGUGGAGAUGUACAAAACGACAGGACUCUCUCCACAAAUCAUCAAUCUGAUAAUUCGAGCAGAUCCAGGAGCACAACACCAAGUCCUAAGGGGAAGCCAAGACCGAGCGGCAGGAGCAGUCGAAGUAUGAGCCCAGAAAAAGUACCUGGUAGACUUGGUCAAAAUGGUGCAAGUCUUCCAAUUGAAUCAAAGGAGAGAAGUCUUUCAAAAAGUCCUCCUCCAAAAGCUACUCAGCCAUCUCGCUCUAGUCCUGUCAGGGAUUUAUCCAGAAAUCAUUCUCCAGAUGGAACUUCAAAACGAGUCCGUAAAGGUCGUGGCUUCACUGAUCGUUAUUCAUUUGCAAGACGCUAUCGCACCCCAUCUCCUGAACGUUCAUCUUACAGGCCUUAUUACCAGGGUGGGAGAAACUUUCAGGGGAAUCGUGAUAGGUACUCAAGCUAUAGAAGCUAUUCUGGUCGCUCUCCACAGGUACAGUACAGACGGUCACCAAGAGGCAGAAGUCCCCCCAGAUACCAGCGCAGGAGUCGAAGUAGGAGUGUUUCUCGCAGCCCUAGGCGUGAGAGUCGUCGAUGUAGGAGCCCUUCACGCAGUCCUUCCCCUAGAGAAAAGCGGCAGCCAAUCAGUGACAGAUUGAAGUCUCGUCUUGGGCCUCGUGUAGAUGAUCAGCAUUCUAUUCCAACUAGGAGGUCAGCCUCAAGAUCUAGAAGCCGCGACUCUACUACUCCUCGAUCCCCUUCUGCUGCUCCAAGGAAGCACAGUAGGAAAGUAGGAUCCGCAUCACCUAAUAGUUCGAGAUCAACCUCCCCACCUCGACCGAGGGGUCUAGUCUCAUAUGAGGAUAUCAGUCCCUGUGGGACAAACUAAUCUCUGUACCCUUCAUGCUCAUAUAUGAGUGACUAAAUUUGCAGAGAACUUUUGGCCUAGGUUUAAACCUUGUUCCAUCAGAUGUUCGCUUAGCUGGGAUUUCCAACUCAAUUUUAUCAUUUUGUGUUUCAGUAAACUAGCAGUUCGACAUUGAAUGUUUUACUUAUGGAAAAAGUGUCUCAUUUAGCCUCGUACUAUAAAAAAAAGUUAUUUCUCAAUAGUUGAGAUAUCGAUUUGGC
This 1386-nucleotide unclassified non-coding RNA is filed under the name Hevea brasiliensis (rubber tree). The record is from RNAcentral. Lineage: Eukaryota; Viridiplantae; Streptophyta; Magnoliopsida; Malpighiales; Euphorbiaceae.